RNAcentral lists this ribosomal RNA (468 nucleotides) under uncultured bacterium. RNAcentral's name for it is "partial 16S ribosomal RNA". It matches the Rfam family "Bacterial small subunit ribosomal RNA", at positions 28 to 507 of the family's 1533-position model. The record is from RNAcentral.
GACGAACGCUGGCGGCGUGCUUAACACAUGCAAGUCGAACGGAAAGGCCCUGCUGUUGUGGGGUGCUCGAGUGGCGAACGGGUGAGUAACACGUGAGUAACCUGCCCUUGACUUUGGGAUAACUUCAGGAAACUGGGGCUAACACCGGAUAGGAGCGCCUGCUGCAUGGUGGGGGUUGGAAAGUUUCGGCGGUUGGGGAUGGACUCGCGGCUUAUCAGCUUGUUGGUGGGGUAGUGGCUUACCAAGGCUUUGACGGGUAGCCGGCCUGAGAGGGUGACAGGCCACAUUGGGACUGAGAUACGGCCCAGACUCCUACGGGCGGCAGCAGUGGGGAAUAUUGCACAAUGGGCGGAAGCCUGAUGCAGCAACGCCGCGUGCGGGAUGACGGCCUUCGGGUUGUAAACCGCUUUCGCCUGUGACGAAGCGUGAGUGACGGUAAUGGGUAAAGAAGCACCGGCUAACUACGUG